Molecule: ribosomal RNA, 262 nt
Filed under: uncultured bacterium
Lineage: Bacteria
Description: partial 16S ribosomal RNA
Rfam family: Bacterial small subunit ribosomal RNA
Source: RNAcentral
CGACCGGCGCACGGGUGAGUAACACGUAUCCAACCUGCCGAUGACUCGGGGAUAGCCUUUCGAAAGAAAGAUUAAUACCCGAUGGCAUAGUUCUUCCGCAUGGUAGAACUAUUAAAGAAUUUCGGUCAUCGAUGGGGAUGCGUUCCAUUAGGUUGUUGGCGGGGUAACGGCCCACCAAGCCUUCGAUGGAUAGGGGUUCUGAGAGGAAGGUCCCCCACAUUGGAACUGAGACACGGUCCAAACUCCUACGGGAGGCAGCAUG